CCCUUAGAUGUCCUGGGCGGCCCGCGCGCUACAAUGUCAGCUACUGAAGGUUAAUGCUUUGAAAGAGAGCGCGCUCUCCUUUUAAUUGCUCGCAUGCUGGGAUAAAUGAAUGCAAUUUUGUUUUGAACGAGGAAUUCCUAGUAGCCAUGUUUCACUAGAAGAUGGCGAAUGCGUCCCUGCCCUUUGUACACACCGCCCGUCGCUCCUACCGAUGAGCGUUUUGGCGAAGACGGUUUGAGUAGCUGCGUAAUUUCGUGUUGUUGACUCCGGCAGUUUGAGCCUUCCCGUUUAGAGGAAGGAGAAGUCGUAACA
This 312-nucleotide ribosomal RNA is filed under the name uncultured eukaryote. Its description in RNAcentral is "partial 18S ribosomal RNA". It matches the Rfam family "Eukaryotic small subunit ribosomal RNA", at positions 1470 to 1796 of the family's 1831-position model. The record is from RNAcentral.